RNAcentral lists this long non-coding RNA (286 nucleotides) under Vigna radiata. RNAcentral's name for it is "long non-coding RNA (VRAD_LNC012622)". Lineage: Eukaryota; Viridiplantae; Streptophyta; Magnoliopsida; Fabales; Fabaceae. The record is from RNAcentral.
CCUAACGCUCCAACGGUCUUUCAUUCUCACUUAGAGAAGAUCGAUGUGUGUGGUGGGAGUAGUGGGAGGUCCUAGGGUAGGCGCUUUCACUGUAGGUCUAUACUGCGGUAACGGACUAGCCUUGUGUAUGGUCGGGUGGAACCCCUCGGCAAUGGCUUUGCAAAGCAGUAGGGCCAUCACAAGUGCACAACCCGCCCCAGCUCUACAUUCAUUCUAUGUCCGGACGUGUCUAGGAGUCUUCGCAUGAUAAGAUGAUUGAUCGGUUAAAUUAUGAACUAAGUGCCUG